UGUAAAUAAUCCCAAUUUGAACAGUUUUGAUGACAAUAUUUUUUCAGUCAAUCCGAAAGGCGGCUUGCAACUUGCAGUUCUAACUGUUUUUUUAGUGGUACUACUGCCUGCUUUUCAGUUGUGGUCAAUAGGUUGGAAGAGAUAAUACAGAUAAUAAUGACGCAUUCAUAAAAAAGGCAUCUUCUGGCAGCCUCCAAAGAGUUCACAAUAAGAAAACGAAAGACAGAAAGCAAUACUAUGGAAAGCGAGAGUGCGAUGAUAAGGAAUUUGAUUCCUCAACCCAAACUAGCGUGAACACAAUGUCUGCUAGGGUAAGUGUGGUGACCUUAAAUUCAGGACAAAAACAAGGUAACUUAAACUGUGUUUGCGUCAAAAUCAAGACUGAUGAAUGGUAUAAUAUGGCUGCUGAUUUGUAUUCUGUGUGUGUCAAAUCAGAACAGGUUAUAUGGGAAGAGAGACAACCAGAUUGCAACAAACAAGAUACUAGUAGCUUCAAUUUAGUACAUGAACAAACAGGAUGUUUACAUAUGGAUCAAGAUUAUAUUAAACAAGAUGGCUUUACCUCCGAAUGUGUGAAAUCAGAACAGACAGAAAAUGAAAUUAUGCAACAAGCUUGCCUAAAUUCUGUAUGUGUGAACCAAAACACGAUUUCAAAUUCAAAUGCGUACAUGUAUACAGAAACAGAUGAGCUCCAUUCUGUAUGUGGGACAACAAAACAGUUUCUAAAUCCAAAUACAGACCAGAGUUAUAUAAUAACACAUAACCUCAAUUCUGUACGUGGUAUAGCUAAACAGUAUAUAAAUACUGAUACAGACAAUGAAAAUAUAGCAACAAAUGAUCAUAAUUCUGUAUGUGGUAUAGCUAAACAGCAUAUCAACACAGAUAUGGACAAUGAAAAUACAACAGCCAAUGAUGUAAAUUCUGUACGUGGUAUAGCUAAACAGUAUAUUAACACAGAUAUGGACAAUGAAAAUAUAACAACAAAUGAUCACAAUUCUGUAUGUGGUAUAGCUAAACAGUAUGUCGAUACAGAUUCGGGCAAUAGAACAGAAAAUGAUCCAAAUGCUUUAUCUGAUCAUUCAAACACAAUCGAGGAUCAAGCUCAACUGGCCUACCUAAAUUCUCUAUUUCUGACAAGGGAAGAGAUUGAGCUUUCAAAUGUUGACCAAUAUUGUGCCAGACCAAAUAUGGGUGGAGAGACAAUACAAAAGGACCUUUACUCAAACCUUGAUGUUCAUAGAUAUUCAAACUCCGAAAAAGAUGACUCAGAUGAUGACUUUGUAGAGAUACUCUUUGAAAGAGAUAAAAGGAAAAGCGAGAGCUGUCAUUCAACUCUUGUGGCUCCAAAGAGAUUUCGAGGUCAAGAUUCUUCCAGUGGCGUAGUCCAGCGAAGGAGUCUUUCAGCAAGAGAAAAUGCAGAGAAUGCUGUGACUACUAGUGUCUCCGUUUCUCUGAAACCAGCUAAGAUGAAAAUGAACGAAAAGGGUGACAGGGUGAAGAUGGUUAAGAGAAUGAAGAAAGCCAAGACCCAUGAAAAAGAAAAGACCAAGUACAGUCUUCUAGAGAGGAACCUAGCCAGGUGUAUGAACCUGGACCCUCGAGAUAAUGACCAUUUUCUCUACUGUGGAGAAUGCAACAAGGAGUUUGAAGGGAACUGCCCUGUCCAUGGGCCCUAUAACUACAUACAGGACGAAAAGGUGCCAGAAGGGGAUCCACUUAAAGCUGACCAUACCGUGCCAGAUUGCUUUGAAAUCAAAACGUCCAAAAUAUCUGGAGCUGGUCUUGGAAUAUUUUCCAAGAAGGGACUGGAAUCCAGGGCCAUGUUUGGACCGUAUGGGGGCGAUAUCAUUGCUGCAAACCAGAAAUCAGGAUAUUGCUGGCAGAUCUAUACGGAAGGCAAAGCGAGCCACUUUGUGGAUGCCCAGAACAAGGCCACCUCUAACUGGAUGAGAUAUGUGAACUGUGCAAUGAAGGAGGCAGAUCAGAACCUUGUGGCGUUUCAGUACAAAGGAGGCAUCUAUUACAGUACAUUGAAGCCAGUGUCACCAGGAGAGGAACUGCUGGUAUGGUAUGGAGAUGAAUUCGCCAGAGAACUUGGCCUCAUCAGAGACGAUAAUUUAUGCAAUUAUUCCUGUAAAAACAGUGGUCGCUUGAAGAUACACACGAGGAAACAUACAGGAGAAAGACAGUACAAGUGUGAGGUGUGUGGCUAUUUAUGUAAACAUAGUGGUACCUUGAAGACACACAUGAGGAUACAUACAGGAGAAAGACCGUAUAAGUGUGAAGAGUGUGAUUAUGCUUGUAAACAUACUGGUGCGUUGAAGAGACACAUGAUGAUACAUAGAGGAGAAACACAGUACAAGUGUGGGGAGUGUGGCUAUGAAUGUAAACGUAGUGAUGCAUUGAAGAGACACAUGAUGAUACAUACAGGAGAGAGAGAGUACAAGUGCGAGAUGUGUGGCUAUUUAUGUAAACAUAGUGGUAACUUGAAGACACAUAUGAGGAUACAUACAGGAGAAAGACCAUACAAGUGUGAGGUGUGUGAUUAUGCUUGUAAACAAUGUGGUGAUUUGACGAGGCACAUGACGAUACAUACAGGAGAGAAACAGUAUAGGUGUGAGGUUUGUUGUUAUGCAUGUAGCGGGAGUGAUGCCUUAAAGAGACACAUGAGGAAACAUACAGGAGAGAGAGAGUACAAUUGUGAGAUGUGUGGCUAUGAAUGUAACAGAAGUGAUAACUUGAAGACACACAUGAGGAUACAUACAGGAGAAAGACCGUACACGUGUGGGGAGUGUGGCUAUGAAUGUAAGCGUAGUGAUGCGUUGAAAAGACACAUGAGGAUACAUACAGGAGAGAGAGAGUACAAGUGUGAGAUGUGUGGCUAUUUAUGUAAACAGAGUGGUAACUUGAAGAGACACAUGAGGAUACAUACAGGAGAAAGACCGUAUAAAUGUAAGGAGUGUGAUUAUGCUUGUAAACAAAGUGGUGAUUUGAAGAAACACAUGAGGAUACAUACAGGAGAAACACCGUUCAAGUGUGGGGAGUGUGGCUAUGAAUGUAAACAUAGUGGUAACUUGAAGAGACACAUGAGGAUACAUACAGGAGAAAGACAGUAUAAGUGUGAGUAGUGUGAUUUUGCAUGUAAACAAAGUCGCGAUUUGAAGAGACACAUAAUGAUACAUACAGGAGAGAGAGAGUACAAGUGUGAGAGGUGUGGCUAUUUAUGCAAACAGAGUGGUAACUUGAAGACACACAUGAGGAUACAUAAAGGCGAAAUACUGUAUAAAUGUAAGGGGUGUGAUUAUGCUUGUUAACAAAGUGAUGCGUUGAAGAGACACAUCAGGAUCCAUACAAGAAAGAAACAGUACAGGUGUGAGGUGUGUGGCUAUGAAUGUAACAGAAGUGAUCACUUGAAGACACACAUGAGGAUACAUACAUGAGAAAGACCGUACACAUGUGAGGAGUGUGGUUAUGGAUGUAAACGUACUGGUUAGUUGAAGAGACACAUGAGAAUACAUACAAGAAAGAAACAGUACAGGUGUGAGGUGUGUGGUUAUGCAUGUAACAGGAGUGAAACCUUAAAGAUACACAUGAUGAUACAUAAAGGAGAGAGACAGUACAAGUGUAAGGUGUUUGGCUAUGAAUUUAACUUGAGUGGUCACUUGAAGGCACACAUGAGGAUACACAUUGGAGAAAAACAGUACAAGUGUGGGGAGUGUGGAUAUGAAUGUAAACGUAGUGGUGAUUUGAAGAAACACAUGAGGAUACAUAAAAGAGAGAGAGACCGUACAGGUGUAAAAUGUUUGAUUUUGCAUGUAAAAACAGUGGUCACUUGAAGAAACACAUGAUGAUACAAUGUAUUACAUGCAGGAGAGAGACCAAACACGUUUGGGGUUUGUGAUUUUGCGGGUAAAAAAAGUAGUUCGUUGAAGACACAGAUGAUGUUACAUACAGACGAGAGACCUUACACAAUUUAGGUGUGUGAUUAUGCAUGUAUCCAGAAUGAUUGCAUGAUGAGACACACGAAGAAGCAUGCUUGGUUAUACUUGUAAAGAUAGUGUUGAUUUAAAGAAACGCAUGAGGAUACAUACGGGAGGAAGACUUUAAAAAGUGUUAGGUGUGUGGUUAUCCAUGUAUCCAUGGAUGGGAGGAAGACUUGAAAAAGUGUUAGGUGUGUGGUUAUCCAUGUAUCCAUAGGAGGAGGACUUUACAGAGUGUUAGGUGUGUGGUUAUCCAUGUAUCCAUAGGAGGAAGACUUUACAGAGUGUUAGGUGUGUGGUUAUCCAUGUAUCCAUAGGAGGAAGACUUUACAGAGUGUUAGGUGUGUGGUUAUCCAUGUAUCCAUAGGAGGAAGACUUUACAGAGUGUUAGGUGUGUGGUUAUCCAUGUAUCCAUAGGAGGAAGACUUUACAGAGUGUUAGGUGUGUGGUUAUCGAUGUAUCCAUAGGAGGAAGACUUUACAGAGUGUUAGGUGUGUUGUUAUCCAUGUAUCCAUAGGAGGAGGACUUUACAGAGUGUUAGGUGUGUGGUUAUCCAUGUAUCCAUAGGAGGAGGACUGUACAGAGUGUUAGGUGUGUGGUUAUCCAUGUAUCCAUAGGAGGAGGACUUUACAGAGUGUUAGGUGUGUGGUUAUCCAUGUAUCCAUAGGAGGAGGACUUUACAGAGUGUUAGGUUUGUGGUUAUCCAUGUAUCCAUAGGAGGAGGAGAGUGUUAGGUGUGUGGUUAUCCAUGUAUCCAUAGGAGGAAGACUUUACAGAGUGUUAGGUGUGUGGUUAUCCAUGUUUCCAUAGGAGGAAGACUUUACAGAGUGUUAGGUGUGUUGUUAUCCAUGUAUCCAUAGGAGGAGGACUUUACAGAGUGUUAGGUGUGUGGUUAUCCAUGAAUCCAUAGGAGGAAGACUUUACAGAGUGUUAGAUGUGUGGUUAUCCAUGUAUCCAUAGGAGGAAGACUUUACAGAGUGUUAGGUGUGUGGUUAUCCAUGUAUCCAGAAUGGUCCCUUGAAUACUUGAAGAGGCACAUCAGGAUAUAUAAGAACAUAAGAAAAGAAAGAGCUUAAACAUGAAUAUAUAAAAAAAUCUCUGAAAUCAGUUGAGAGACCCAGUGACACACGUUAUUUUGCAUGACAUUAUGACGCAAUAAAUCAUUGCUUUGUUA
Long non-coding RNA from Dreissena polymorpha, 5154 nucleotides. RefSeq lists it as uncharacterized. The record is from RefSeq and is a predicted model, not a curated record. The transcript has 10 exons. NCBI's taxonomy places the organism in Eukaryota, Metazoa, Mollusca, Bivalvia, Myida, Dreissenidae.